This is an RNA transcript of Panicum virgatum (switchgrass), 3292 nucleotides long. It is a transcript of the gene named protein FAR1-RELATED SEQUENCE 5-like, with no coding region annotated. NCBI's taxonomy places the organism in Eukaryota, Viridiplantae, Streptophyta, Magnoliopsida, Poales, Poaceae. The record is from RefSeq and is a predicted model, not a curated record. The transcript has 7 exons.
AUCUAGUGUUACGGAGCGCACGGGUGCUACCGUGUUACGAAGGUACGGCAGCUGUUCGAUCGAUUUUGGACGGAUAGGAUCUAUCCGGCCGCCUCCACCCUUACAAAUUUAUUUUAAACACCCUGGAAGAAGUGAUCCCUUUCAAAGAGAGCCCUCAUCUAUGGUACAUUUACAAGGACAACCCUACAUUUGUUCACCUUCCCGUUGCAGAUCCUUCCCCCAAUUCGAGUUCCUUCUAUCUGCUUCUCUCCUCUCAGAACUCACGGCGACUGAACAGAAGCACCCAAGCAACAAAAACGAGCACUCACUGGGUUGGUAACACCUUCCAUGCCGUUCCACUAAAUACAUAUUGAUGACAUGGAUUUCGAAUCGAGAUCUCCGUCAGCAGCUGCUCUCGCUGAAGUACCGGAUCUUGAAGCUGCGCGGGUAGACCGGGACAUUGCUGCUGCGCCGAUGGAGUUCAGUGCUGAUUGGGACUUGACAGGCUUCAUCUCCUUUGAAGCAAAUGAAGGGUCUGUAGAACAUAUGGGAAGCGAACAUAUGGGAAGCCUUAUGCAGAGCAUUGGCUCAACAAAUGCAUCAGGGAAUGAGGAUGAUGCUACUAGCACAUUACCGGUAAUUACUUUGAGGAACUUCAACAAAUGCAUCAGGGAAUGAGGAUGAUGCUACUAGCACAUUACCGAGUGCAGCGAGCUCUGAAGAACAUGAAGGGGAUGGUUAUAAAACACCAGAGACGGGAAGUAAUCUGCCAUAUUGUGGGUCAAUAUAUGAGCCUGAAUGUGAUGCCAGCUUGCAGCCCUAUCUUGGCAUGGAGUUUGAUAGUUGGGAGCAAGGUGAGGUGUUCUACAAAAACUAUGCUCACCAUGUUGGUUUCUCGGUUUGGAAAGCACCACAUCAUAAAGGUGAUGGUGGUGUGCUAGUGUGGAAGCGUUUUUUUGCUCAAGGCAAGGUUGGAGGCAGGAAAAAGAAAAUGUAGAUGGACAAGGUAAGAAGCGUAAAAGGAAAAUCAAGCUUACCAGAUGUGGUUGCGAUGCCAUGAUUGGAUUUAUGAGAAAACCAGACGGCAAAUAUGUGGUUGCCCGGUUUGUAAAAGCACACACACAUGAACUUUCUUCUCCAAGCAAGACGCAUCUGCUUAGGUCAAAUAGAGAAGUGAGUGAUGAGGUGAGGAGCAAGCUAUUUGCAUGUCACAAGGCAAUGACUGGAACCUCUGUAGCAUAUCGACUUUUAAGUGUGGAGAUGGGGGGACAUGAAAACAUAGGAUGCACAAAGAAGGAUGCACAAAACUAUGAUCGAGAUUGCAAAAAGGCAUUUAGUCAUGGGGAUGAACAGAUUUUGAUUGAUAUCAUGAAAGACAAGCAAAGGCUCAAUCCAUCCUUUAUCUUUGAUUACAAAUUGGACAACAGAAAUAGGCUAACCCAUGUUUUUUGGGCAGAUGGAACUAGCAGGAAGAAUUAUUCAUUAUUUGGUGAUGUUAUCUCCUUCGACUCUACAUAUCGCUCAAACAGGUAUAACCUUGUAUUUACCCCUUUCACAGGAGUCAACCAUCAUAAGUCCUGUGUUACUUUUGGUGCUGCAUUUAUACCAAACGAAAAGAUUGAGUCGUACAAAUGGGUAUUCCGGACUUUCUUAAAGGCAAUGGGAGGGGUUGCACCUAAACUUAUUAUAACUGAUGAGGAUCUUAGCAUGAGGGCUGCUAUUAAAGAUAUUUUCCCAGACACUAGGCAUAGAUUGUGCAUGUGGCAUAUACUUAACAAACUCCCGGAAAGAGUUGGCCGGCCUUUAAUUGAAGAUGAUGUUUUCCUCUCUGAGUUUGUGUCAUGUGUGUGGGGUUCAGAGACUCCAAAUGAAUUUGAGGCAAGAUGGAUCUCAAUAAUUUCCAAGUAUGGUCUAAAGAACAAUUCAUGGCUGAGUGACAAAUAUCAGAUGCAUCAAUCAUGGAUCCUUGCUUAUUUCAUGGAUUUGUCUCUGGGCGGAAUACUUAGGACCACUUCAAGAUCUGAGAAUGAGAAUGCAUUUUUUAGACAUUUUCUGAACCGAUGACUCCGAUUGCUUGAGUCUGCUUUGAGACUGCUUUGGAGGAACAACGACAAUUGGAACUAUUGAAUGAUAAUGCCACACUUCAUUCACUGCCCAUGCUAGAAACACCAUGGGGCAUCGAGAGCCAUGCCAGGGAUGUUUACACACACACAAUAUUUAGCAUUUUCCAAGAUGAGGUGAUUUGUGCUAGGGAUAAGUGUGAUACACAAACCAUGGUUCAGGUUGGUGAUGAACGGAUAGCGAGAAUAAUGGAUGGCGGCGAAAAAAUUAGAGAGGUUCGCUAUAAUACCUGCACAAGGGUGGCACAAUGUUCCUGCAAGUUGUUUGAAUCCAUUGGCAUUCUCUGUUGUCAUAUCAUUCUUGUCCUAAAGGGUGCAGGCUGCAAUGAAAUCCCUGAGCAUUAUUUACUGUGUAGGUGGACCAAAACAGCCACCAAAAAUGCUGUUUUUGAUGCAAAUGGGAAUGUAAUUGAAGGAUCAUGCACAUCCCUUCCUCCGAACAUGAGGAGGUUAUGUUCUGAGACAUGGUCCAAGUUUAAAUCAGGAAUGCAGGCUGCCAAACAAUGUGAGGAGAAAAUGAAAUAUCUUCACAAGUGUAUUAGUGAUGCUGUUGAGCAAAUGUCAAAGAUGGGCCCAAACAGUGGAAAAAGUAAGGUUUCAGAGUUUGAAUCCUUUGUUGGAACACAAUUUCUAGUAGAAAUUAGUAUCCACCCACCUGAAGUGGUGCACACGAAGGGAAACGGGAGGAGAUUUAAGCGGGGUUCGGAGCAGUCAUCAACCAACCACAAAAGGAAGAGGUCAAGAAGCAUCAAGGAGGUUGUGCAGAAUUAGUUGUUGUAAAUUUUGUACCUUAUGGAUAUGGGCAAUGUGCUUUUACAAUCACUAUCUGCUGCUCUAGACCAACAACUUGAUGGACUUGCAUCAAGUAUCGUCAUGGCCAUCUUCAGAGAGUCCUUGAUUUGGUGUAUUUUGUAAUAUAUUAUCAACCAUCAACUUCUGUAGGUUAGGCUAUGAUGCCAACUCGUUGCACCUGUGUUAACUAUGAGUGUAAACAAUGUUUUUAAAUCGCCUAGUCGUCUGAUCGAACAAUGGGUGGACCAGACGACUAAUCGUGAUUAGUCGUCGACUAGGGUCGACUAGUCGGGUCUGAUCGACCCUAGGCGUCCACUAGUCGUCCAGGACAUUUAGGAUCCAUAUAUAUAUAUAUAUAUAUAUAUAUAUAUAUAUAUAUAUAUAUAUAUAUAUAUUAGCUU